GGGUCCAUAGCUCAGUGGUA
This 20-nucleotide non-coding RNA is filed under the name Arabidopsis thaliana (thale cress). Lineage: Eukaryota; Viridiplantae; Streptophyta; Magnoliopsida; Brassicales; Brassicaceae. The record is from RNAcentral.